CUCCUCGAUUCAGCGGCGGACGGGUGAGUAAUGCCUAGGAAUCUGCCCAGUAGUGGGGGACAACGUUUCGAAAGGAACGCUAAUACCGCAUACGUCCUACGGGAGAAAGUGGGGGAUCUUCGGACCUCACGCUAUUGGAUGAGCCUAGGUCGGAUUAGCUAGUUGGUAGGGUAAAGGCCUACCAAGGCGACGAUCCGUAACUGGUCUGAGAGGAUGAUCAGUCACACUGGAACUGAGACACGGUCCAGACUCCUACGGGAGGCAGCAGUGGGGAAUAUUGGACAAUGGGCGAAAGCCUGAUCCAGCCAUGCCGCGUGUGUGAAGAAGGCCCUCGGGUCGUAAAGCACUUUAAGUUGGGAGGAAGGGCUUACAGCGAAUACCUGUGAGUUUUGACGUUACCAACAGAAUAAGCACCGGCUAACUUCGUGCCAGCAGCCGCGGUAAUACGAAGGGUGCAAGCGUUAAUCGGAAUUACUGGGCGUAAAGCGCGCGUAGGUGGCUUGAUAAGUUGGAUGUGAAAUCCCCGGGCUCAACCUGGGAACUGCAUCCAAAACUGUCUGGCUAGAGUGCGGUAGAGGGUAGUGGAAUUUCCAGUGUAGCGGUGAAAUGCGUAGAUAUUGGAAGGAACACCAGUGGCGAAGGCGACUACCUGGACUGACACUGACACUGAGGUGCGAAAGCGUGGGGAGC
This 690-nucleotide ribosomal RNA is filed under the name Pseudomonas oryzihabitans. Its description in RNAcentral is "bacterial SSU rRNA". It matches the Rfam family "Bacterial small subunit ribosomal RNA", at positions 83 to 769 of the family's 1533-position model. Lineage: Bacteria; Pseudomonadati; Pseudomonadota; Gammaproteobacteria; Pseudomonadales; Pseudomonadaceae. The record is from RNAcentral.